RNAcentral lists this ribosomal RNA (611 nucleotides) under Wautersiella sp. BCCO 40_FK59. RNAcentral's name for it is "bacterial SSU rRNA". It matches the Rfam family "Bacterial small subunit ribosomal RNA", at positions 78 to 688 of the family's 1533-position model. The record is from RNAcentral. Lineage: Bacteria; Pseudomonadati; Bacteroidota; Flavobacteriia; Flavobacteriales; Weeksellaceae.
CUUUCGGGAAUUAGAGACCGGCGCACGGGUGAGUAACGCGUAUGCAACUUGCCCUACUGAAAAGGAUAGCCCUUCGAAAGGAGGAUUAAUACUUUAUAAUAAAUUUCAUAGCAUUAUGAAAUUUUGAAAGAUUUAUCGCAGUAGGAUAGGCAUGCGUAAGAUUAGAUAGUUGGUGAGGUAACGGCUCACCAAGUCGACGAUCUUUAGGGGGCCUGAGAGGGUGAACCCCCACACUGGUACUGAGACACGGACCAGACUCCUACGGGAGGCAGCAGUGAGGAAUAUUGGACAAUGGGUGGAAGCCUGAUCCAGCCAUCCCGCGUGUAGGAAGACGGCCUUAUGGGUUGUAAACUACUUUUAUCUGGGGAUAAACCUAYYYACGWGURARUAGCUGAAGGUACCAGAAGAAUAAGCACCGGCUAACUCCGUGCCAGCAGCCGCGGUAAUACGGAGGGUGCAAGCGUUAUCCGGAUUUAUUGGGUUUAAAGGGUCCGUAGGCGGAUUAAUCAGUCAGUGGUGAAAUCUCAUAGCUUAACUAUGAAACUGCCAUUGAUACUGUUAGUCUUGAGUAAUGUUGAAGUUGCUGGAAUGUGUAGUGUAGCGGUGAAAUG